AUUGAACGCUGGCGGCAUGCCUUACACAUGCAAGUCGAACGGCAGCACGGGUGCUUGCACCUGGUGGCGAGUGGCGAACGGGUGAGUAAUACAUCGGAACAUGUCCUGUAGUGGGGGAUAGCCCGGCGAAAGCCGGAUUAAUACCGCAUACGAUCUACGGAUGAAAGCGGGGGACCUUCGGGCCUCGCGCUAUAGGGUUGGCCGAUGGCUGAUUAGCUAGUUGGUGGGGUAAAGGCCUACCAAGGCGACGAUCAGUAGCUGGUCUGAGAGGACGACCAGCCACACUGGGAUGGGGAACCGGCCCGGACCCCAAGGGGAGCAGGAGGUGGGAAAUUUGGGCAAAGGGCGAAAGCCUGAUCCAGCAAUGCCGCGUGUGUGAAGAAGGCCUUCGGGUUGUAAAGCACUUUUGUCCGGAAAGAAAUCCUUGGCCCUAAUACGGUCGGGGGAUGACGGUACCGGAAGAAUAAGCACCGGCUAACUACGU
RNAcentral lists this ribosomal RNA (484 nucleotides) under uncultured bacterium. Its description in RNAcentral is "partial 16S ribosomal RNA". It matches the Rfam family "Bacterial small subunit ribosomal RNA", at positions 29 to 506 of the family's 1533-position model. The record is from RNAcentral.